RNAcentral lists this ribosomal RNA (465 nucleotides) under uncultured bacterium. RNAcentral describes it as "partial 16S ribosomal RNA". It matches the Rfam family "Bacterial small subunit ribosomal RNA", at positions 28 to 507 of the family's 1533-position model. The record is from RNAcentral.
GACGAACGCUGGCGGCGUGCUUAACACAUGCAAGUCGUACGGUAAGGCCCUUUCGGGGGUACACGAGUGGCGAACGGGUGAGUAACACGUGAGUAACCUGCCCACAACUUUGGGAUAACGCUAGGAAACUGGUGCUAAUACUGGAUAUGUGCUCCUGCUGCAUGGUGGGGGUUGGAAAGCUCCGGCGGUUGUGGAUGGACUCGCGGCCUAUCAGCUUGUUGGUGGGGUAGUGGCCUACCAAGGCGGCGACGGGGAGCCGGCCUGAGAGGGUGACCGGCCACAUUGGGGCUGGGAUACGGCCCAGACUCCUACGGGGGGCAGCAGUGGGGAAUAUUGCACAAUGGGCGCAAGCCUGAUGCAGCAACGCCGCGUGCGGGAUGACGGCCUUCGGGUUGUAAACCGCUUUCAGCAGGGACGAAGCUUUUUGUGACGGUACCUGCAGAAGAAGCACCGGCUAACUACGUG